ACUCAAAUGAAUAGACGGGGGCCCGCACAAGCGGUGGAGCAUGUGGUUCAAUUCGACGCAACGCGAAGAACCUUACCUGGGCUCGAAAUGUAGUGGAAUGAGGUGGAAACAUCUCCGUCUCGCAAGAGACUGCUAUAUAGGUGCUGCAUGGCUGUCGUCAGCUCGUGUCGUGAGAUGUUGGGUUAAGUCCCGCAACGAGCGCAACCCUUAUUGCCAGUUGCCAUCAUUUAGUUGGGCACUCUGGCGAAACUGCCCCGGAUAACGGGGAGGAAGGUGGGGAUGACGUCAAGUCCUCAUGGCCUUUAUGUCCAGGGCUACACACGUGCUACAAUGGGUGGUACAAACCGUCGCAAACCCGCGAGGGGGAGCUAAUCGGAAAAAGCCAUCCUCAGUUCGGAUUGGAGUCUGCAACUCGACUCCAUGAAGCUGGAAUCGCUAGUAAUCGCGGAUCAGAACGCCGCGGUGAAUACGUUCCCGGGCCUUGCACACACCGCCCGU
Molecule: ribosomal RNA, 498 nt
Filed under: uncultured bacterium
Lineage: Bacteria
Description: partial 16S ribosomal RNA
Rfam family: Bacterial small subunit ribosomal RNA
Source: RNAcentral